RNAcentral lists this ribosomal RNA (253 nucleotides) under uncultured bacterium. RNAcentral describes it as "partial 16S ribosomal RNA". It matches the Rfam family "Bacterial small subunit ribosomal RNA", at positions 524 to 776 of the family's 1533-position model. The record is from RNAcentral.
UACGUAGGGUGCGAGCGUUAAUCGGAAUUACUGGGCAUAAAGCGUGCGCAGGCGGUUCGUUGUGUCGGUGGUGAAAUCCCCGGGCUUAACCUGGGAAUGGCCAUGGAAACUGGCGAACUGGAGUGUGGCAGAGGGGGGUGGAAUUCCGCGUGUAGCAGUGAAAUGCGUAGAGAUGCGGAGGAACACCGAUGGCGAAGGCAGCCCCCUGGGCUAGCACUGACGCUCAGGCACGAAAGCGUGGGGAGCAAACAGG